ACCUGGGUGGCUCAGCUGACUGAGCAUCUGACUUCAGCUCAGUUCAUGAUCUCGGGGUUCUGGGAUCGAGUCCUGCCUCAGGUU
RNAcentral lists this transfer RNA (84 nucleotides) under Ailuropoda melanoleuca (giant panda). It matches the Rfam family "tRNA". Rfam says of the family: Transfer RNA (tRNA) molecules are approximately 80 nucleotides in length. Their secondary structure includes four short double-helical elements and three loops (D, anti-codon, and T loops). The record is from Rfam by way of RNAcentral. Lineage: Eukaryota; Metazoa; Chordata; Mammalia; Carnivora; Ursidae.